This 73-nucleotide transfer RNA is filed under the name Felis catus (domestic cat). It matches the Rfam family "tRNA". Rfam says of the family: Transfer RNA (tRNA) molecules are approximately 80 nucleotides in length. The record is from Rfam by way of RNAcentral. RNAcentral also lists the same sequence under 3 other names. Lineage: Eukaryota; Metazoa; Chordata; Mammalia; Carnivora; Felidae.
ACCUGGCUGGCUCAGUCGGUAGAGUGUGUGACUCUUGAUCUCGGGGUUGUGAGUUCAAGCCCCACGUUGGGUG